GGUUCCGUAGCUCAGCAGGAUAGAGCAUCAGAUUCCUAAUCUGAGGGUCACGCGUUCGAAUCGCGUCGGGAUCA
RNAcentral lists this transfer RNA (74 nucleotides) under Gillisella vitis. Its description in RNAcentral is "Agrobacterium vitis tRNA-Arg". It matches the Rfam family "tRNA". Rfam says of the family: Transfer RNA (tRNA) molecules are approximately 80 nucleotides in length. Their secondary structure includes four short double-helical elements and three loops (D, anti-codon, and T loops). Lineage: Bacteria; Pseudomonadati; Pseudomonadota; Alphaproteobacteria; Hyphomicrobiales; Rhizobiaceae. RNAcentral also lists the same sequence under 1 other name. The record is from RNAcentral.